RNAcentral lists this ribosomal RNA (497 nucleotides) under uncultured bacterium. RNAcentral's name for it is "partial 16S ribosomal RNA". It matches the Rfam family "Bacterial small subunit ribosomal RNA", at positions 28 to 507 of the family's 1533-position model. The record is from RNAcentral.
GAUGAACGCUGGCGGCGUGCCUAAUACAUGCCAGUCGAGCGAACGGACGAGAAGCUUGCUUCUCUGAUGUUAGCGGCGGACGGGUGAGUAACACGUGGAUAACCUACCUAUAAGACUGGGAUAACUUCGGGAAACCGGAGCUAAUACCGGAUGAUAUUUUGAACCGCAUGGUUCAAAAGUGAAAGACGGUCUUGCUGUCACUUAUAGAUGGAUCCGCGCUGCAUUAGCUAGUUGGUAAGGUAACGGCUUACCAAGGCAACGAUGCAUAGCCGACCUGAGAGGGUGAUCGGCCACACUGGAACUGAGACACGGUCCAGACUCCUACGGGAGGCAGCAGUGGGGAAUAUUCCGCAAUGGGCGAAAGCCUGACGGAGCAACGCCGCGCGAGUGAUGAAGGUCUUCGGAUCGUAAAACUCUGUUAUUAGGGAAGAACAUAUGUGUAAGUAACUGUGCACAUCUUGACGGUACCUAAUCAGAAAGCCACGGCUAACUACGUG